Molecule: unclassified non-coding RNA, 387 nt
Filed under: soil metagenome
Description: partial contains 5.8S ribosomal RNA, internal transcribed spacer 2, and large subunit ribosomal RNA
Rfam family: 5.8S ribosomal RNA (bases 1-120)
Source: RNAcentral
GAUGAAGAACGUAGCGAAAUGCGAUAAGUAAUGUGAAUUGCAGAAUUCAGUGAAUCAUCGAAUCUUUGAACGCACCUUGCGCUCCUUGGUAUUCCGAGGAGCAUGCCUGUUUGAGUGUCAUGAAAUUCUCAAACCCAUAAGUCUUUGCGGGCUUACGGGCUUUGGACUUCGAGGCUUGUCGGCGACCGUAAAGUCACAUCGACUCCUCUCAAAUGCAUUAGCUUGAUUCCUUGCGGAUCGGCUCUCGGUGUGAUAAUUGUCUACGCCGUGACCGUGAAGCGUUUUGGCAAGCUUCUAACCGUCUCUAACGAGACAGCUUACUUUGACCUCUGACCUCAAAUCAGGUAGGACUACCCGCUGAACUUAAGCAUAUCAAUAAGCGGAGGA